This is a non-coding RNA of Xylariaceae sp. AK1471, 87 nucleotides long. The record is from the annotation of a GenBank genome assembly. Lineage: Eukaryota; Fungi; Ascomycota; Sordariomycetes; Xylariales; Xylariaceae.
GGUUCCGUGGCCUAAUUUCCAGGGCACUAGAUAUCGGUUAACUAUUCAAUUCUCCAGAUGUUGUCGGUUCGAGUCCGGCCGAAAUCG